RNAcentral lists this ribosomal RNA (776 nucleotides) under uncultured Neocallimastigales. RNAcentral describes it as "partial large subunit ribosomal RNA". It matches the Rfam family "Eukaryotic large subunit ribosomal RNA", at positions 24 to 629 of the family's 3401-position model. Lineage: Eukaryota; Fungi; Neocallimastigomycota; Neocallimastigomycetes; Neocallimastigales. The record is from RNAcentral.
UAUCUCUGUAGAGUCUGCAUAUCAAUAAGCGGAGGAAAAGAAACUAACUAGGAUUCCCUCAGUAACGGCGAGUGAAGCGGGAAGAGCUCAAAUUUGAAAUCUUCAAGGUUCUACCUUGACGAAUUGUAGUUUAAAGAAGUGUUUUCUGUUGGAGUUUUGGUAAAAGUUCUUUGGAAUAGGACAUCAUAGAGGGUGAGAAUCCCGUAUUUGACCAUUAUUUCCAGCUUUGUGAUACACUUUCAAAGAGUCGGAUUGUUUGGGAAUGCAGUCCAAAAUGGGUGGUAAAUUUCAUCUAAAGCUAAAUAUUGGCGAGAGACCGAUAGCGAACAAGUACCGUGAGGGAAAGAUGAAAAGAACUUUGAAAAGAGAGUUAAACAGUACGUGAAAUUGUCAAAAGGGAAGCGUUUGACACCAGUGUUGUUUUCUCGAAAAUCAAUUAAAAAAGGCAGGAUUUUGUGUUGUAUUGACUUUAUCAGCUUUCUGCACUCUUUUCUUGUCUUUUUUUAAUGCACUUUUCGUUUAACAAGUCAACAUCAAUUUCUUUUGUUGUAAAAGGGUCAUUGGAAGGUGGCUUUCUUUUCGGAGAAAGUGUUUAUAGCCUUUGGCCUCUGCAAUCGGAGAGAUUGAAGGUCUGCAGCGUAGAUCCUUCGGGGUUAGAUACAUUUGUGCUAAGUUAUAGCCUUUCAUAGACAACUUGUUGACUAUGAUCAGUCAUGUAGCUUACUCGCUUAUGCUAUUUUACCUACGCUUAGGAUGUUGAUAGUCACAGCGUGUAC